Molecule: long non-coding RNA, 1337 nt
Organism: Culex quinquefasciatus (southern house mosquito)
Lineage: Eukaryota; Metazoa; Arthropoda; Insecta; Diptera; Culicidae
Exons: 2
Source: RefSeq, a predicted model, not a curated record
UGUCAUUUGUGUCAUGUUGUAUUUUUGUAUUUUUUAUUUCUGUAUUUUUGUAUUUUUGACGUUUAUUUUUGUAUUUUGAAAAAAGUGUCCACGAGGUUUAUGGAUGGCCCCUUCUUUCCACAAAAAGGUAGUCGAAUUGUUUCCCCACCGGUACACUAUUAACUUUCUCUCGAAAGUCGACAUCUGAACGCACGAGGCUGCGUUUGUCCGAGACACAGGUUCCUUAGAAUUCCGGAACCCUCUCUCGCAACUGCAGCAGCCAACACACGUCCAUCACUAUUUUGCCUGAACGAACCUCAAAAGCUAUCUGCAAAGCCAUUCAUCCCUCCCCACUACUCCUCAGAAGAGGGGAAAAGAGGGAAAGAGAUACACUUUACUGUUGGAGUGCUGGUAACGGGGAAAAGGAUUUCCCGUAUCAGCGAUGGAGCGGUUUUUUUCUGAAUGAACCUGGGGAGAAGUGCUCGAUCAAAUCAAGAGGGCAGCAACCUUUGGCAGGAGGUGAGCUGCAAACACUCUUGCCUUAUCGGAAACAGCACUGCGGGAACUCGAACUGGAGAGUUUAACCAUUUGACCUGGUGAGAAGGCAGACUACCCGGUUGAUUAGUGAGAAAAGAGAAGCUUUUAUACCUCACGUUUGACGUUUGGAUUCUAGUGAUGGAAAUGCAUAUUGAGUACAGAUACUGCCUUAUCGACUUUCUUGUAUGAAAUUAUCAAUCUUGUCAAUCGGUAGAAUCGUUUUAUUUUCAGCUAGGUUUCAGCUUUAAACGAGUUCAAACGUAGUAAGCUACCAUAACUGGCUUAACUCAUGGGCUAUCUAAGCUGCAAACUGCGUUAUUGUUCACCCUCACCCCAGGACUAUAGUUCAACCUCUCAAAAUUUUGACUACCUUUUUGCUGUUUUGAGAAAUAACUGUUUCCCUCACUAGCGGCGUAUAUAAGGCUCCCCAAGCGAGUCUCCUGCGGGUAGUCUGUUUUAUACGAGAUCAAGCGGAUUGAGCCACCGGUACGGCUGCUAAAUCGGAAACCUGUGAUUACGGUUUCAAAACCAUCCCCCCAAUGCUGGUAUGGUACAAACCAAUAUCAAUUUCCAGCCUUUCUGACCCGCGCACAGGCAGAAACAAGUGAGAGAGGAGAAGAUCAAGAAGAAGCCCACACAACACAACAAAUACAAGAGGACGCUGCUGCACUUUUCGCUCGCACAUUGUGGCAUAAUUACUUCCUCCGAUGGGGACGCGCUUUGUCCUUGGCGGUACGAAGGAAUGUGCAACUUGUGCGAUUUAACAACUGUGAAGUCAUACUUUGUGACUCACGGAAUCGUAUCCUGAUUUGUAUAAAUAU